Molecule: non-coding RNA, 617 nt
Organism: Chiloscyllium plagiosum (whitespotted bambooshark)
Lineage: Eukaryota; Metazoa; Chordata; Chondrichthyes; Orectolobiformes; Hemiscylliidae
Source: RefSeq, a predicted model, not a curated record
GUGAUGACAGCACAAGCAGGCAUUCAAUUCACACCAACUUCUCUGUCUUGUAGUUUGCUGCAGGUACAAUGAUCACUGACCCUGCAGGAGAAAGGGCCACUAGUAUCCUGGGGACAAGUCUGGUGAACCUUUUCUUACAAUAGAGAGAGUGCAAUAACAUCUUUCCCGGGAUAAGGAGACCAAAACUGCACACACAACUCUCGGUCUGUUAAGAUGGUGGAAAGUGCAAUCUACUGCUCUGAACCUACCUGGACAAAGCAGCUGAAUUCCAGAGGCAUCAGCUCAUGGAUUGGACCAGGCUACAUCUCAAGGCCGUUAUACACUUUUCUAAUGAUCACUCCCUUAGUACCCACCUGGAUGAGACGAUGCAGGGCUAGUAGUGUGGGGCAACUGACCGGGUGAGAGCAAAUGAGGGAAGGUGUUGCAGGCAAUAAUGGAAGAGGUGGAGGAUGAAUGAAAGCAGGACAAUGGAAAGGAAGAUGGGAAAAUACAGAGAAUGAAAAAUAUCAGAAGCUCGUGGUGAGAAAGCUGCAAUUUUAAUGAGUGAUGACUUUAAGAAGAAUCUUUAACUGGCUGCCUAGUCUACAUAUACAUUUUCCCCUCAAAUCUUCAGUAGU